GCCACUAUCUAAGGAAGCUGGCCUGGCCCACUGGAGGCUGAGAGAACACAUGAGGAGAACCGAGCUGGCCCAGCCAACGGCCAGCACCCAACUGGCAGACAUGUGCGUGAGGCCAGCUUGGGCCUCCCAGCCCACCCUGGUCACCAGCUGAACGCCGCCACGUGAGCGAGCCCAGAAUCAAAGAAAUCAAAGCCAGGAAGAACGAGGGAGUUAUCAACACCAUUUCAAGUGAGUGCGGUGCUGUUGCCAGGCUCCGGCUUUCCAGCUGCACAGGGACAUCCUCCAUGAGGACAGCUAAACAAAGUGGAGUUUGUCACUUGUAUCCGAGGGGAGAUUUGAUGACGCCUUUCUGUUCAGCUGCAAUUUUCCUGCUUUAAGUAUGUUUUUCACCACUGAUGUCAUGAAAUCCUCAA
This is a long non-coding RNA of Lemur catta (Ring-tailed lemur), 413 nucleotides long. RefSeq lists it as uncharacterized. NCBI's taxonomy places the organism in Eukaryota, Metazoa, Chordata, Mammalia, Primates, Lemuridae. The transcript is spliced from 3 exons. The record is from RefSeq and is a predicted model, not a curated record.